UUUUAAUAGGAGUGGUGAGAAAUUUUAUUUUUUAAGUUAUUAACUUUUUAGUACACAUAUCUCACAAUUUGUGUAGUAACACGUGGUAUACCACCCCGUGUACCGGUCACACCGAAAAAUCUCUCCUCUGUGCGGCUUAGACUAUAAUUAGAACAUUUCUGCUAUUGGUUCUCACUUUCGGUGUUUUGAUUUUUUCGUAGUGAAGGUGCCUAAGGAAAGGGUCAAGGAUAAGGAUGAGUGAGCAGAGAAUCCAAGCCUUUGUGACUUAUAUUCAAAUAUCUGCAAUGUGUCCGGCGGUAGACUGGUAAUAGUUUCAUGAUUAUUCAUUGAUGGUGUUAUUCUUUAUUUCAUAUCUGUUAUUUUUAAAGUUCUCCUUCUCUUUACCGGUUUUCAGGUUUUACUUGUGGAAUAAUAAAUGACAAGGAGCUUGAGGUACCUCAUAACUUUUUUUCAUUUAUAGUAUGCAUAUUUUUUAACAUGCCUUUGCAUUUGUUUAUUAUAAGUGUUCUCAUUGUCACAGAAUUACUCAUUGUUAAUAGUCCCUCUACUACUGUCUCCUUUAAAUUUUAUAACUUGUUGAUUUGGGCAGUUACUUGUGCAUUUGCCUUAAAGGAUUUAUUUUUGCAGACCUGAUUGGCUUUAGCUCUGUUGGGGAGUUUUUCUGUACCACUUUCACUGGGAGGAAAAAUGGCUGCCAUGAAAUUGUGAUCUAAAAUUGAUGCUUUCCAUAGACAAGGAUAUGAGACAAGGACAGGCCUGGCAAGCAACCUAUCAUCUUUAAUUUGACAUUUGUUUUCACAGAUACACACAUAUAUAUUCUUUGAAUUGUUCUGAUAUUGGUAUCCUAAUUAAACUUGUGGUUGUGUGGUUUUGGUGUAGUGAGAUAUGAGGAGUGAUCAAGGAGCUACAUAAACUGUAGCAAGCUGCAUGAAGUAGUGAGAUACAUGAAGGAGCUAUAUGAAUGAGUGAUGAAAAAGCUAUAUGAAGGAGUGAUUAAGGAGCUACAUACACUGUAUGUACAAAAGGGAAGAUGCUUUUACCUACACGUCUUCAAAAGAAUUCAAGUUUGCAUUUUCGAAGUUUUAGGACUAGUGUUAAUAUGUUCAAACACAUAUCUUAGGUUUGUAAUAAAUGUAUUGGCUUUACCAUAUUGAUCUUAUAUACAUUAGUUUUUAUUAAUGAUAAUACAAAAUAUUCUUUAAACAAUGCUCAGUGAAAUUUUUACCAAAAAGCAUAUAUUUCUUGCCUCAAUUUCCAUUGGAAAUGUCUAUUAUUAUUUUUUUUCUGAUGAAAAUAAUAUUUGUGACACACUAUAGUAGCAGUUAAGGGUUGAAAAUUGUAAUUGCAACGAUUGUGUACUCACAAAUAAAAGUUAUUUUGUUGGAAAAAAAUUUCUGACACAAUUAUUUGGUCAGAACAACAUCAUCGCAAAAAACAUGUCUUUUGGAAAGUAAUUUCGACAACUAUAUAAUUAUUUACUACCACAUUUCCAUGUCAAAAAUAAAAUAAGUUUGUCAUUUUGAAAAUUCAUUUCCGAUGAAAAGCUAACUACUAACGACAAGUCUUGUGCGUCGAUAAUAAAGUAUU
Molecule: long non-coding RNA, 1587 nt
Filed under: Malus domestica (apple)
Lineage: Eukaryota; Viridiplantae; Streptophyta; Magnoliopsida; Rosales; Rosaceae
Description: long non-coding RNA (MDOM_LNC015480)
Source: RNAcentral